AGGAGUGUAGCUCAGUAGUAGAGCACUUGCCUAGGUGGCAAGGCCCUGGGUUCAAUCCCCUGCACUGCAA
RNAcentral lists this transfer RNA (70 nucleotides) under Heterocephalus glaber (naked mole-rat). It matches the Rfam family "tRNA". From Rfam's summary of the family: Transfer RNA (tRNA) molecules are approximately 80 nucleotides in length. Their secondary structure includes four short double-helical elements and three loops (D, anti-codon, and T loops). Further hydrogen bonds mediate the characteristic L-shaped molecular structure. tRNAs have two regions of fundamental functional importance: the anti-codon, which is responsible for specific mRNA codon recognition, and the 3' end, to which the tRNAs corresponding amino acid is attached (by aminoacyl-tRNA synthetases). tRNAs cope with the degeneracy of the genetic code in two manners: having more than one tRNA (with a specific anti-codon) for a particular amino acid; and 'wobble' base-pairing, i.e. permitting non-standard base-pairing at the 3rd anti-codon position. The record is from Rfam by way of RNAcentral. Lineage: Eukaryota; Metazoa; Chordata; Mammalia; Rodentia; Bathyergidae.